This 817-nucleotide long non-coding RNA is filed under the name Phoenix dactylifera (date palm). RNAcentral's name for it is "long non-coding RNA (PDAC_LNC017558)". The record is from RNAcentral. Lineage: Eukaryota; Viridiplantae; Streptophyta; Magnoliopsida; Arecales; Arecaceae.
CAAGUAGCUGCACCAUGGUCCAGAUUUUACAGGCUGUGGCUACAAAUAGGGAUGUGCAAAAAAUCCCUAAACUGAACCAGCCUCUUUGAUUCAGUUUAUAUCGAUUUUCAAUUUGAUUUGAUGUCGGUUCAAGACAUGGCAGCUAAUCAUACUGGAAUAUCUUAUGAACUGCCCACCAUAUAUUUCUUUUGAUUUAUUAGUUAUUUUAUUUUUUAAUUUCCACAGAUAUAUUUACAAUAGGUUAGUAUAAUAAUUUUUUUUACCAAAAAACUCCGGCAAGUUGUUAUUUUCUCGAAUCAAAGAGAUAAGUAGUAUUCAUUAAUUGACCUUGGAUGCUGCACUGUCUUAAAAUGAAUCAAACCACAAACCUACACGUAUAAAUAAGAACAAAAAAAAAUAGAAGGAAAAGAAAGCAAUAAAGAUAUAUAUUUGUGCGAGAGUGGUGGAUCCCGUCCAACUAAAAAUUUCAUCUUAAAAUGUUCUUGAUACUAGAAAAAGAAAAUGGCCUUCCUGAGAGGAGCUGGGAUACUGAAUUAAACUGCACGAAAUGAGACGUAGUCUCUGCAGCUGCAGCAGCCGCUAGCUGUAGUUCAUAAGAGCAAAAAAUAAAUGGAAACGCAGCCCAUAUGGAAGGAACUACAGUUCAUAAGAGCAAUAAUAUAUAUGUACUUGGGGUGGGGGAGAGCUGUAGAUAUUCCAGCCGUCCUUUUUUGAGGGGGAUUUCCAUACUUGCACAAGCACAAACCAGAAACAGAAUUACUUUGCACAGAACAAACACACACACACACACACAGAGAGAGAGAGAGAGAGAGAGAAG